GAUGAAGAACGUAGCGAAAUGCGAUAAGUAGUGUGAAUUGCAGAAUUCAGUGAAUCAUCGAAUCUUUGAACGCACAUUGCGCCCGCCAGUAUUCUGGCGGGCAUGCCUGUUCGAGCGUCAUUUCAACCCUCAGGCCCCCAGUGCCUGGCGUUGGGGAUCGGCGCGGCGCCCUCCGGGGCGCUGCCGGCCCCGAAAUUCAGUGGCGGUCUCGCUGUAGCCCUCCUCCGCGUAGUAGCACAACCUCGCGGCCUGGAGCUCGGCGGUGGCCAUGCCGUAAAACACCCCACUUCUGAAAGUUGACCUCGGAUCAGGUAGGAAUACCCGCUGAACUUAAGCAUAUCAAUAAGCGGAGGA
This 354-nucleotide unclassified non-coding RNA is filed under the name soil metagenome. Its description in RNAcentral is "partial contains 5.8S ribosomal RNA, internal transcribed spacer 2, and large subunit ribosomal RNA". The stretch from base 1 to 120 matches the Rfam family "5.8S ribosomal RNA", at positions 35 to 154 of the family's 154-position model. The record is from RNAcentral.